CCUACGGGAGGCAGCAGUGGGGAAUCUUGCGCAAUGGGCGAAAGCCUGACGCAGCCAUGCCGCGUGAAUGAUGAAGGUCUUAGGAUUGUAAAAUUCUUUCACCGGGGACGAUAAUGACGGUACCCGGAGAAGAAGCCCCGGCUAACUUCGUGCCAGCAGCCGCGGUAAUACGAAGGGGGCUAGCGUUGCUCGGAAUUACUGGGCGUAAAGGGAGCGUAGGCGGAUAGUUUAGUCAGAGGUGAAAGCCCAGGGCUCAACCUUGGAAUUGCCUUUGAUACUGGCUAUCUUGAGUUUGGGAGAGGUGAGUGGAACUCCGAGUGUAGAGGUGAAAUUCGUAGAUAUUCGGAAGAACACCAGUGGCGAAGGCGACUCACUGGCCCAAUACUGACGCUGAGGCUCGAAAGCGUGGGGAGCAAACAGGAUUAGAUACCCUGGUAGUCCACGCCGUAAACGAUGAGUGCUAGUUGUCGGGCAUGCAUGCAUGUCGGUGGUACGCGACGCGUAACGACAUUAAGUACACUCCGCCGUCGGGGAGGUACGGUCGGCGAAGAAUUAAAACGUUAAAAGGUAAAGUUAGACGGCGUGAGACGUGCCGACGACGACGACGAGGGAGGUAGG
RNAcentral lists this ribosomal RNA (618 nucleotides) under uncultured bacterium. RNAcentral describes it as "bacterial SSU rRNA". The stretch from base 1 to 526 matches the Rfam family "Bacterial small subunit ribosomal RNA", at positions 338 to 873 of the family's 1533-position model. The record is from RNAcentral.